CUGAUUUUAUAACUUGGUACAUUGCCUAAAACAUCCAUCCUGAUUGUGACGUUAGUGUCCCCUUCCUCAAACACCAAUAAAGUCUGAUUUCCACCAUUAAUAGCAAGACUAUGGUCCUUUAACUGAAGGGAAGAAAGACCUAGAAAUAAAGUAUUUAUAAAUGAAAUAACUUGUAACUCUGAAACAUUCUACUUCUGCUUAUCUAUUCAGUUAUAAUUGUGCUAGUACUCACUGUAAAUUGGCAAAGUAACGGUCCUUGUGUAUAUAAAAGGCAGAAGCGUGUAGCCAAAUAUGCAUGUGAUAUUUUCACCCUCAUACAGAUCUGACAGGAACCGGUAUGAACUAAUAACUGAAUCUGUUUUUGAGAUGUUUCUCUGUAAAGGUGGUGCAUAUUUUAAUUCAGGCAGCAUCCAUGUGAUGUUUGGACGAGGCCUCCCCCCUGUCGCUGUACAGAUGACCUCUUAGUUGAAGACGCAUGUGUAUUCUCCCUCUACAUCAAGACUUGUUACAUUCACCUUUACAGUGAGAAUUCCCAAUUCCCAGUGUGCGGAGGACAAAUCCCAGUUGCCUCCAUGUCUGAGACCAUCAACCUGCGCAUCUUAUCACAUGGCUUGUUGAGUGCUUUGCCACAGAGACAUAGCGCAUGUGGAGGCUUCACGCCAUCCACUGCGGCAUCUGCGCUCAACUCACCACACACCCUACUGAGAACGAACCACAUUAUAGCGACCACGAGGAGGUUACCCCAUGUGACUCUACCCAACCUAGCAACCGGGCCAAUUUGGUUGCUUAGGAGACCCGGCUGGAGUCACUCAGCACGCCCUGGGAUUCAACCUAGUGAACUAGCGAACUCCAGGGGUGGUAGCCAGCAUCUUUUACCACUGAGCUACCCAGGCCCCUAUGAACAGAAUGUAUGUUAAAGUUUACAGCGUGCAGGCGGAGUGACGGGAAGGCAAGCAAAAUCGCACUCACGCUUUUUUCAGUUUCAGUGCGGCAUCGAAUAUGGUGAACCCUGAUUGGAUUAGAAGCUCGAUGGACAUGACACUCAUUCUUUUUUUUUUUCAAUGCACUUCACAUAAAAUUAAACACUUCUUGUAAGAUUAACCAUUUCUAUUAAUGGUUUCUAUUUAUCUAUUAAUAAAAAUUCAUUUUAAAAAUGUUUUGUGUAUAUUCAAGUGUGUAUUCAUUAAUUAAUAAUGCGUUACCAUGACCCUCACUUUAAAAUAAUUAGUAAUUCCUUCAUGUUUAUGUGGUAACACUUGACUCAUUACUUAUGGGUUACCAAAAUUAUUUUAAAAAGAACUAUUUUAACCUGCCUAAGUUAAUAAUUUGUAAUGAACAGAAGAGUGUCAUGGUUUUAUGUGUUUUUGUUCAUGUUUUGUGUUUAUGUAACAUUGUU
Myxocyprinus asiaticus (Chinese sucker) is the source of this 1396-nucleotide long non-coding RNA. RefSeq lists it as uncharacterized. NCBI's taxonomy places the organism in Eukaryota, Metazoa, Chordata, Actinopteri, Cypriniformes, Catostomidae. The transcript has 3 exons. The record is from RefSeq and is a predicted model, not a curated record.